GACGAACGCUGGCGGCGUGCCUAAUACAUGCAAGCCGAGCGAAGUUUUUCUGGUGCUUGCACUAGAAAAACUUAGCGGCGAACGGGUGAGUAACACGUAAAGAACCUGCCUCAUAGACUGGGACAACUAUUGGAAACGAUAGCUAAUACCGGAUAACAGCAUUAACUGCAUGGUUGAUGUUUAAAAGUUGGUUUUGCUAACACUAUGAGAUGGCUUUGCGGUGCAUUAGCUAGUUGGUGGGGUAAAGGCCUACCAAGGCGACGAUGCAUAGCCGACCUGAGAGGGUGAUCGGCCACACUGGGACUGAGACACGGCCCAGACUCCUACGGGAGGCAGCAGUAGGGAAUCUUCCGCAAUGGGCGAAAGCCUGACGGAGCAACGCCGCGUGAGUGAAGAAGGAUUUCGGUUCGUAAAGCUCUGUUGUUAGGGAAGAAUGAUUGUGUAGUAACUAUACACAGUAGAGACGGUACCUAACCAGAAAGCCACGGCUAACUACGUG
This 499-nucleotide ribosomal RNA is filed under the name uncultured bacterium. RNAcentral's name for it is "partial 16S ribosomal RNA". It matches the Rfam family "Bacterial small subunit ribosomal RNA", at positions 28 to 507 of the family's 1533-position model. The record is from RNAcentral.